CUGAGGUCACCUGGCCUGCUCAGCCUGGAGGAGACUGAGAUCUGCAAAGAAGCGCUCUGCAUGGAACACAAAAUCAGAAGUUAAUCAGGAGCUGAAAUCAUUAACUGCAUGUGCAAAGGAUACAGGGCAGCUCCUCAGUGCUCUACUCAUGUGAAAUGGAGCAAUGCUGACUUACCCUGACUGAGGUUAUUUCCAUUCUUAUGUCCUCUUCAUCCCCAGAAGCAAAUAGCAUUUUAGAGAAGAAUAAUAAAAUGUGACAGUGUCUCUGCCAGUGCUCCUGGGUAAUACCCCUCAGCUC
Cyanistes caeruleus (blue tit) is the source of this 298-nucleotide non-coding RNA. NCBI's taxonomy places the organism in Eukaryota, Metazoa, Chordata, Aves, Passeriformes, Paridae. The record is from RefSeq and is a predicted model, not a curated record.